RNAcentral lists this long non-coding RNA (690 nucleotides) under Mustela putorius furo (domestic ferret). RNAcentral describes it as "lncRNA (ENSMPUG00000029863.1)". Lineage: Eukaryota; Metazoa; Chordata; Mammalia; Carnivora; Mustelidae. The record is from RNAcentral.
UCUUCCUGGCAAAAAGCUGUAUUGUUUCUGCUUGGUCCGGGCUUGGGGGGGCGGGGCUCCAGGGUGGUCAAAAACUGCCUAGUGCUGCAGGGAGAGCCUCAGCCAGAGGCCCUGACACCAGGGGUGGGGUGCCAGAGGGGCCCCUCAAAGCUUGCGGGGUUCUGGAGGCUCCUAACCGUGCUGGAGGUGGGCGUUUGGAAGAGACGUCCGCCGGCCCAGCCUGAGGCUGCCAGCCCGCCUGCUGAGUCAGGUGGUCGCCAUCUCCUGGAUGAGCUUCACCUGCCGACCCAGGCGCGGUUCUGCAGGAAGCCGAGCGGGCGCCUACGCGGGCGGAAGCCAAACAUAAAGGGCGGGAUUGAGGGUCGGCCCCGGGCCUCUGGCGGCGGGUAUGGCUUCCCGGGCUUCAUGACCCUGGACUUGAGACGGCUUCUGCUUCUGCUCGUCCGGGCCGCGGCCGGCCGCCGCGCGGGUUCUGCGUCUGGGAGAGAAGUCGUCUGGCUUCGCCUCGGCCUGCGGAUGCUCAUCCUGGCGGUGGAAAGAGAAGCCCGAGAGAGUCCUCUCAUUGGUGGCUAUCCAUGGCCCACUCCAUCUGAACGGAGCACACCACCUUCAACGUGGGCAUGAGGCCAACAGAGCAGAUGGCUGUGAACCUUGGCAUGCCAGGAGACCAUUAGGUUCAUCAGUGUGAGC